This is a long non-coding RNA of Girardinichthys multiradiatus, 547 nucleotides long. RefSeq lists it as uncharacterized. The record is from RefSeq and is a predicted model, not a curated record. The transcript has 3 exons. NCBI's taxonomy places the organism in Eukaryota, Metazoa, Chordata, Actinopteri, Cyprinodontiformes, Goodeidae.
ACACAAUCAAAGAAUUGAGCAUCUGUGGCGAGAUGUCUGGACCUGUGUAACUCAUCUUUACUAUGAGGUUCUUCACAACCUGGAGGAAAGUGGCCUUCUGGAUUUGUCCAACACUUUGCAUCUGUUUUGUGCACACUAUGUGUUCCUCCCUCGGCUUGCAGAUGCACUUCACACUUUCACAGAAGGAUGGGACAAUCAUCCUUUAAAGUCUGAAGGUGGACUCACCCCUAACCAGCUGUGGACCUUGGGACACAUGCAGAAACCUAUUUGUGAAACUGUAGAUGCUCAGAACCUGGACCUGUUUGGAACUGACUGGGAAACAUUUGAUGGUGUCAGUGAAGAACCCCUUGGAGUUCAAGUCCCAGAAAAUGACUGCCCUCUGUCACCGACUGCAGUGGAAGCUGUUCAGUCCAUGAUCAACCCACUUGCGCCAUCUGAAUCAUAUGGUCAGGAUCUGUUUGUAUCAAUGGUUCAGUAUGUUGAAAGUCACUGGGAAACGAGCCACAGCAGUUAACACAUGUUGUAAAAAAGUGUACAUUUGCUAAAA